RNAcentral lists this transfer-messenger RNA (392 nucleotides) under Bacilli. RNAcentral's name for it is "UBA3207 sp003501485 Standard tmRNA". It matches the Rfam family "transfer-messenger RNA". From Rfam's summary of the family: Bacterial tmRNA, also known as 10Sa RNA or SsrA, is named for its dual tRNA and mRNA-like properties. Its role is to liberate the mRNA from a stalled ribosome. To accomplish this part of the tmRNA is used as a reading frame that ends in a translation stop signal. The record is from RNAcentral. Lineage: Bacteria; Bacillati; Bacillota. RNAcentral also lists the same sequence under 1 other name.
GGGGUCGACAUAGUUUCGACAGGGAUGAUUGCUUGGCAUUAACUGCAGUCGAGCGAUGACGUAAUCAUCAAACAAAAAUAACUGACAACAGUUAUAUGAGAGCUCCUAGAGCUCAAUCACUCUGCUUAGCCUAAGCUAUCUCGAUAUAGAGUCCGAUUAAAUUAACCGGGCAGAGCACUUCUCAGGGUUUUAGCCUUUCACGCCUGAUAAAAGUGUCAUACCAAAAGGAUAGGAUGAAGGAGUUGGCUUGCUAGCUUCAUCUAAAUACCAAUAAGCCUCGUAAGACUAGCCACGAUAUGCGAUGUCUUAUUAAAUUCUAAAUAUCGUCUAAACUGUAGACGUUAUUGUAGAGCCUUCCUUGGACACGGGUGCAACUCCCGCCGGCUCCACCA